AUGGUCCCACCACCGGUGACAGUAAGACCUCUCACAGAUCUGAACAAAAUCCAGUGCCUAAUGGUAUCCUCUAUCCAGUAUGAUCUCUUUGGAGGAGCUACCAAAGUACCUUCAAUCUGGAAUUUGAAAGUUACAUGCUUCGUCAGGCAUUUCUUGCCCUUGGGGAUGAGCACAGUGCUAGGAUUCAAAGAGGAGCAAGCUGCAGCCCACGCCUUUGACAAUGCCUGCAAGAAGUGGAUGCGCAAGAAACCCAUGAUGUAUAACCUACUGGCUGGUGGAAGUAAUGAAUCAUCGUGCAACUUAUCAGUGCUAAUGACAAAUCAUCAGGGAAAGAAGGCAUGUGAUUGCAUUUGGACCUUUUCAGGUAGGUAUCUUAACAUUCAUGAACAGAGGUUUCAGUUACAGGAUCUUAGCUGA
This 417-nucleotide ribosomal RNA is filed under the name Triticum aestivum (bread wheat). RNAcentral's name for it is "partial small subunit ribosomal RNA". Lineage: Eukaryota; Viridiplantae; Streptophyta; Magnoliopsida; Poales; Poaceae. The record is from RNAcentral.